GGGGGGAUGGCUCAGUGGUUAAGAGCACUUGCUCCCCUUCCAGGAGACUUGGGUUAGAUUCCCAGCCCUCACA
This 73-nucleotide transfer RNA is filed under the name Mesocricetus auratus (golden hamster). It matches the Rfam family "tRNA". From Rfam's summary of the family: Transfer RNA (tRNA) molecules are approximately 80 nucleotides in length. Their secondary structure includes four short double-helical elements and three loops (D, anti-codon, and T loops). Further hydrogen bonds mediate the characteristic L-shaped molecular structure. tRNAs have two regions of fundamental functional importance: the anti-codon, which is responsible for specific mRNA codon recognition, and the 3' end, to which the tRNAs corresponding amino acid is attached (by aminoacyl-tRNA synthetases). tRNAs cope with the degeneracy of the genetic code in two manners: having more than one tRNA (with a specific anti-codon) for a particular amino acid; and 'wobble' base-pairing, i.e. permitting non-standard base-pairing at the 3rd anti-codon position. Lineage: Eukaryota; Metazoa; Chordata; Mammalia; Rodentia; Cricetidae. The record is from Rfam by way of RNAcentral.